AGUCAUACGCUCGUCUCAAAGAUUAAGCCAUGCAUGUGUAAGUAUAAAUAUUUAACUUUGAAACUGCGAAUGGCUCAUUAUAUCAGUUAUAGUUUAUUUGAUGAAAAGUACUACUUGGAUAACCGUAGUAAUUCUAGAGCUAAUACAUGAUAAAAUCCUCGACUUUGAAGAGGUGUAUUUAUUAGAAUGAAACCAAUAGACUUCGGUCUGUUUGUGAGUAAUAAUAACUAAUCGUAUCGCAUGCUUAGGUAGCGAUAUGUCUUUCAAGUUUCUGCCCUAUCAGCUUUGGAUGGUAGUGUAUUGGACUACCAUGGCAGUAACGGGUAACGAAGAAUUUGGGUUCGAUUUCGGAGAGGGAGCCUGAGAGAUGGCUACCACAUCCAAGGAAGGCAGCAGGCGCGUAAAUUACCCAAUCCUGACAUAGGGAGGUAGUGACAAUAAAUCACAAUGCGGAACUAUUAGUUUUGCAAUUGGAUUGAGAACAAUGUACAAAUGUUAUCGAUAAACAAUUGGAGGGCAAGUCUGGUGCCAGCAGCCGC
This 539-nucleotide ribosomal RNA is filed under the name Blastocystis hominis. RNAcentral describes it as "SSU rRNA". It matches the Rfam family "Eukaryotic small subunit ribosomal RNA", at positions 22 to 577 of the family's 1831-position model. The record is from RNAcentral. Lineage: Eukaryota; Bigyra; Opalinata; Blastocystidae.